This 352-nucleotide ribosomal RNA is filed under the name uncultured Ceratobasidiaceae. RNAcentral's name for it is "eukaryotic LSU rRNA". The stretch from base 1 to 71 matches the Rfam family "5.8S ribosomal RNA", at positions 84 to 154 of the family's 154-position model. Lineage: Eukaryota; Fungi; Basidiomycota; Agaricomycetes; Cantharellales; Ceratobasidiaceae. The record is from RNAcentral.
GUGAGUCAUCGAAUCUUUGAACGCACCUUGCGCUCCUUGGUAUUCCUCGGAGCAUGCCUGUUUGAGUAUCAUGAAAUCCUCAAAAUAAAUCUUUUGUUCGUUCGAUCGAUUUUAUUUUGGACUUGGAGGUCUGCAGAUUCACGUCUGCUCCUCUUAAAUUCAUUAGCUGGAUCUCCGUGAACUCGGUUCCACUCGGCGUGAUAAGUAUCACUCGCUGAGGACACUGUAAAAGGUGGCCGGGGUUGUGGAAGAACCGCUUCCAAUAGUCCAUUGACUUGGACAAUUUAUUUAUGAUCUGAUCUCAAAUCAGGUAGGACUACCCGCUGAACUUAAGCAUAUCAAUAAGCGGAGG